RNAcentral lists this ribosomal RNA (450 nucleotides) under uncultured bacterium. RNAcentral describes it as "bacterial SSU rRNA". It matches the Rfam family "Bacterial small subunit ribosomal RNA", at positions 354 to 796 of the family's 1533-position model. The record is from RNAcentral.
GUGGGGAAUAUUGGACAAUGGGCGAAAGCCUGAUCCAGCCAUGCCGCGUGUGUGAAGAAGGUCUUCGGAUUGUAAAGCACUUUAAGUUGGGAGGAAGGGCAGUAAGUUAAUACCUUGCUGUUUUGACGUUACCGACAGAAUAAGCACCGGCUAACUUCGUGCCAGCAGCCGCGGUAAUACGAAGGGUGCAAGCGUUAAUCGGAAUUACUGGGCGUAAAGCGCGCGUAGGUGGUUUUGUAAGUUGGAGGUGAAAUCCCCGGGCUCAACCUGGGAACUGACUCCAAAACUACUGAGCUAGAGUACGGUAGAGGGUAGUGGAAUUUCCUGUGUAGCGGUGAAAUGCGUAGAUAUAGGAAGGAACACCAGUGGCGAAGGCGACUACCUGGACUGAUACUGACACUGAGGUGCGAAAGCGUGGGGAGCAAACAGGAUUAGAAACCCGGGUAGUCC